CCUACGGGAGGCAGCAGUGGGGAAUUUUCCGCAAUGGGCGAAAGCCUGACGGAGCAAUACCGCGUGAGGGAGGAAGGCUCUUGGGUUGUAAACCUCUUUUCUCAAGGAAGAAAACAAUGACGGUACUUGAGGAAUAAGCAUCGGCUAACUCCGUGCCAGCAGCCGCGGUAAUACGGAGGAUGCAAGCGUUAUCCGGAAUGAUUGGGCGUAAAGCGUCCGCAGGUGGCCGUGUAAGUCUGCUGUUAAAUAGUGAGGCUCAACCUCAUAAAGGCAGUGGAAACUACACGGCUAGAGUGCGUUCGGGGCAGAGGGAAUUCCUGGUGUAGCGGUGAAAUGCGUAGAGAUCAGGAAGAACACCGGUGGCGAAAGCGCUCUGCUAGGCCGCAACUGACACUGAGGGACGAAAGCUAGGGGAGCGAAUGGGAUUAGAUACCCCAGUAGUCCUAGCCGUAAACGAUGGAUACUAGGCGUGGCUUGUAUCGACCCGAGCCGUGCCGUAGCUAACGCGUUAAGUAUCCCGCCUGGGGAGUGCGCAGGCAACUGUGAAACUUAAAGGAAUUGACGG
Molecule: ribosomal RNA, 565 nt
Filed under: uncultured bacterium
Lineage: Bacteria
Description: bacterial SSU rRNA
Rfam family: Bacterial small subunit ribosomal RNA
Source: RNAcentral